RNAcentral lists this ribosomal RNA (493 nucleotides) under uncultured bacterium. RNAcentral describes it as "partial 16S ribosomal RNA". It matches the Rfam family "Bacterial small subunit ribosomal RNA", at positions 29 to 509 of the family's 1533-position model. The record is from RNAcentral.
AUUGAACGCUGGCGGCAUGCUUUACACAUGCAAGUCGAACGGUAACAGGCCUUCGGGUGCUGACGAGUGGCGAACGGGUGAGUAAUGCAUCGGAACGUACCCAGAGGUGGGGGAUAACGCAGCGAAAGCUGUGCUAAUACCGCAUGUGAUCUGAGGAUGAAAGCGGGGGACCGAGCAGCAAUGUUUGGCCUCGCGCCUUUGGAGCGGCCGAUGUCGGAUUAGCUAGUUGGUGGGGUAAAGGCCUACCAAGGCGACGAUCCGUAGCUGGUCUGAGAGGACGAACAGGCCACACGGGGGGGGAGCAGGGCCAAGGCCCCCAGGGGGGGCGGGGGGGGGGGAUUGUGGGAAAUGGGCCAAAGCCUUGACCAACAAUGGCGGGGGGGGGAAAAAGGCCUGCGGGUUGAAACCCCGUUUUGGGAAGAAACGAAGGGGUGCCCGCAAAACCGGGGCGUAAAUGGGGGCCCGGGAAAAAAAGGCCCGGCCAACCUCCGCC